RNAcentral lists this ribosomal RNA (500 nucleotides) under uncultured bacterium. RNAcentral describes it as "partial 16S ribosomal RNA". It matches the Rfam family "Bacterial small subunit ribosomal RNA", at positions 30 to 523 of the family's 1533-position model. The record is from RNAcentral.
AUUGAACGCUGGCGGAAUGCUUUACACAUGCAAGUCGAACGGCAGCACGGACUUCGGUCUGGUGGCGAGUGGCGAACGGGUGAGUAAUGUAUCGGAACGUGCCCAGUCGUGGGGGAUAACGUAGUGAAAAUUACGCUAAUACCGCAUACGAUCUAUGGAUGAAAGCGGGGGAUCGCAAGACCUCGCGCGCUUGGAGCGGCCGAUAUCAGAUUAGGUAGUUGGUGGGGUAAAGGCCCACCAAGCCAACGAUCUGUAGCUGGUCUGAGAGGACGACCAGCCACACUGGAGAUGAAGCGCGGUCCAGACUCCUACGGGAGGCAGCAGUGGGGAAUUUUGGACAAUGGGCGAAAGCCUGAUCCAGCCAUUCCGCGUGCAGGAUGAAGGCCCUCGGGUUGUAAACUGCUUUUGUACAGAACGAAAAGGUUUCUACUAAUACUAGGAGCUCAUGACGGUACUGUAAGAAUAAGCACCGGCUAACUACGUGCCAGCCGCCGCCGUAA